Long non-coding RNA from Sinocyclocheilus anshuiensis, 178 nucleotides. RefSeq lists it as uncharacterized. NCBI's taxonomy places the organism in Eukaryota, Metazoa, Chordata, Actinopteri, Cypriniformes, Cyprinidae. The record is from RefSeq and is a predicted model, not a curated record. The transcript is spliced from 3 exons.
ACUGAGCACAGCUCACCCAUCAGCAGGCUUGUUAGAGAGAGCAGUCUCCUGCCUGCUAUCUUUCAAGUCAUAGAGGAGCACCAGAAUAACACAGUCGGCAGCACGAUGCAGAACGCCAUGGCUCUCCUCUGCAAUCUGAUUGGACAGGAGGGCACAGACCUCCGACCAUUCUACCAGC